AGUCGUACGCACUGGCCCAACUGAUUGAUGGUGCUUGCACCUGAUUGACGAUGGAUCACCAGUGAGUGGCGGACGGGUGAGUAACACGUAGGUAACCUGCCCCGGAGCGGGGGAUAACAUUUGGAAACAGAUGCUAAUACCGCAUAACAACAAAAGCCACAUGGCUUUUGUUUGAAAGAUGGCUUUGGCUAUCACUCUGGGAUGGACCUGCGGUGCAUUAGCUAGUUGGUAAGGUAACGGCUUACCAAGGCGAUGAUGCAUAGCCGAGUUGAGAGACUGAUCGGCCACAAUGGAACUGAGACACGGUCCAUACUCCUACGGGAGGCAGCAGUAGGGAAUCUUCCACAAUGGGCGCAAGCCUGAUGGAGCAACACCGCGUGAGUGAAGAAGGGUUUCGGCUCGUAAAGCUCUGUUGUUGGAGAAGAACGUGCGUGAGAGUAACUGUUCACGCAGUGACGGUAUCCAACCAGAAAGUCACGGCUAACUACGUGCCAGCAGCCGCGGUAAUACGUAGGUGGCAAGCGUUAUCCGGAUUUAUUGGGCGUAAAGCGAGCGCAGGCGGUUGCUUAGGUCUGAUGUGAAAGCCUUCGGCUUAACCGAAGAAGUGCAUCGGAAACCGGGCGACUUGAGUGCAGAAGAGGACAGUGGAACUCCAUGUGUAGCGGUGGAAUGCGUAGAUAUAUGGAAGAACACCAGUGGCGAAGGCGGCUGUCUGGUCUGCAACUGACGCUGAGGCUCGAAAGCAUGGGUAGCGAACAGGAUUAGAUACCCUGGUAGUCCAUGCCGUAAACGAUGAGUGCUAGGUGUUGGAGGGUUUCCGCCCUUCAGUGCCGGAGCUAACGCAUUAAGCACUCCGCCUGGGGAGUACGACCGCAAGGUUGAAACUCAAAGGAAUUGACGGGGGCCCGCACAAGCGGUGGAGCAUGUGGUUUAAUUCGAAGCUACGCGAAGAACCUUACCAGGUCUUGACG
RNAcentral lists this ribosomal RNA (971 nucleotides) under Limosilactobacillus reuteri. Its description in RNAcentral is "bacterial SSU rRNA". It matches the Rfam family "Bacterial small subunit ribosomal RNA", at positions 60 to 986 of the family's 1533-position model. Lineage: Bacteria; Bacillati; Bacillota; Bacilli; Lactobacillales; Lactobacillaceae. The record is from RNAcentral.